Molecule: ribosomal RNA, 751 nt
Filed under: Stenotrophomonas maltophilia
Lineage: Bacteria; Pseudomonadati; Pseudomonadota; Gammaproteobacteria; Lysobacterales; Lysobacteraceae
Description: bacterial SSU rRNA
Rfam family: Bacterial small subunit ribosomal RNA
Source: RNAcentral
CUCAGAGUGAACGCUGGCGGUAGGCCUAACACAUGCAAGUCGAACGGCAGCACAGUAAGAGCUUGCUCUUAUGGGUGGCGAGUGGCGGACGGGUGAGGAAUACAUCGGAAUCUACUUUUUCGUGGGGGAUAACGUAGGGAAACUUACGCUAAUACCGCAUACGACCUACGGGUGAAAGCAGGGGAUCUUCGGACCUUGCGCGAUUGAAUGAGCCGAUGUCGGAUUAGCUAGUUGGCGGGGUAAAGGCCCACCAAGGCGACGAUCCGUAGCUGGUCUGAGAGGAUGAUCAGCCACACUGGAACUGAGACACGGUCCAGACUCCUACGGGAGGCAGCAGUGGGGAAUAUUGGACAAUGGGCGCAAGCCUGAUCCAGCCAUACCGCGUGGGUGAAGAAGGCCUUCGGGUUGUAAAGCCCUUUUGUUGGGAAAGAAAUCCAGCCGGCUAAUACCUGGUUGGGAUGACGGUACCCAAAGAAUAAGCACCGGCUAACUUCGUGCCAGCAGCCGCGGUAAUACGAAGGGUGCAAGCGUUACUCGGAAUUACUGGGCGUAAAGCGUGCGUAGGUGGUUGUUUAAGUCUGUUGUGAAAGCCCUGGGCUCAACCUGGGAACUGCAGUGGAAACUGGACAACUAGAGUGUGGUAGAGGGUAGCGGAAUUCCCGGUGUAGCAGUGAAAUGCGUAGAGAUCGGGAGGAACAUCCAUGGCGAAGGCAGCUACCUGGACCAACACUGACACUGAGCACGAAAGCGU